CCUACGGGAGGCAGCAGUGAGGAAUAUUGGUCAAUGGGCGCGAGCCUGAACCAGCCAAGUCGCGUGAGGGAAGACGGUCCUAUGGAUUGUAAACCUCUUUUGUCGGGGAGCAAAAGACGCCACGCGUGGCGUUCCGAGAGUACCCGAAGAAAAAGCAUCGGCUAACUCCGUGCCAGCAGCCGCGGUAAUACGGAGGAUGCGAGCGUUAUCCGGAGUUAUUGGGUUUAAAGGGUGCGCAGGCGGAAGAUCAAGUCAGCGGUAAAAUUGAGAGGCUCAACCUCUUCGAGCCGUUGAAACUGGUGUUCUUGAGUGAGUGAGAAGUAUGCGGAAUGCGUGGUGUAGCGGUGAAAUGCAUAGAUAUCACGCAGAACUCCGAUUGCGAAGGCAGCAUACCGGCGCUCAACUGACGCUCAUGCACGAAAGUGUGGGUAUCGAACAGGAUUAGAUACCCUAGUAGUC
RNAcentral lists this ribosomal RNA (459 nucleotides) under uncultured bacterium. Its description in RNAcentral is "partial 16S ribosomal RNA". It matches the Rfam family "Bacterial small subunit ribosomal RNA", at positions 338 to 795 of the family's 1533-position model. The record is from RNAcentral.